This 78-nucleotide transfer RNA is filed under the name Paracoccus salipaludis. RNAcentral describes it as "Paracoccus sp. WN007 tRNA-Arg". It matches the Rfam family "tRNA". Rfam says of the family: Transfer RNA (tRNA) molecules are approximately 80 nucleotides in length. Their secondary structure includes four short double-helical elements and three loops (D, anti-codon, and T loops). The record is from RNAcentral. Lineage: Bacteria; Pseudomonadati; Pseudomonadota; Alphaproteobacteria; Rhodobacterales; Paracoccaceae.
GGAUACGGCGGGAAGAAGGCCGCCCCGGCUGCCCUCCGAAGGCAGAGGUCACAGGUUCGAAUCCUGUCGGGUGCGCCA